Molecule: RNA transcript, 2457 nt
Organism: Tripterygium wilfordii
Lineage: Eukaryota; Viridiplantae; Streptophyta; Magnoliopsida; Celastrales; Celastraceae
Gene name: protein RBL-like
Exons: 6
Source: RefSeq, a predicted model, not a curated record
ACGGGCCGGGUCUCUAUCCCAAUCAGUUGCGGUCGAGGAGAUCCAUAUAAUUUCCUUCGUCUCCCUCCUUUUCUUACCAGUUGAACUUCCGUGGGGUUUUGUUACAAACAGAGAGCCAGGGUUUGGGUUCGGCGUUGUGAUCUUUCUUCUCUUUGUUUUGUUUUCCUUAGUUGUUCUUAGGAUUUCCGAUUAAGCUCAGUUUCCGAGUCCAAACACACUCUUAUAUAGAGUUUGUGUUUCUUUGGUUCUGAAGAAAAUGAACGUUCCGAUAAUUGAUCCCCUGCAAGGGGAUUUCCCGGAGGUGAUAGAUGAAUUCCUGGCCCUGGAGAAUGGGGUCAUGAAAUGCGUGGCCUUUAAUCGCCGUGGCAUGCUACUCGCUGCUGGAUGUGCUGAUGGAAGGUGCAUUAUCUGGGAUUUUGAAACGAGGGUAGUUGCAAAGCAGCUUCAGGAUAAAGACUGUGCUGCUGCCAUAACAAGUGUAUGCUGGUCGAAGUACGGACAUCGUAUCCUUGUAUCAGCUGCUGACAAGUCAUUAACACUUUGGGACGUGGCCAGCGGAGAGAAGAUUACGCGCAUUAUCCUACAGCAAACUCCACUACAGGCCCGUCUGGAUCCUGGUUCGGCUGCUCCAUCUAUUUGCCUGGCAUGCCCACUCUCAUCUGCACCCAUGAUUGUAGACUUGAACACAGGAAGCACAACUUUGCUUCCAGUUACAGUUCCUGACUUGGAAGAUGGUGCCUUGGCUCCAUCACGCAAUAAACUUGCAGAUGGAGUUUCUCCUCCUUUGACACCCACUGCUGCAUGCUUCAACAAGUACGGUGAUCUGGUUUAUGUGGGUAACUCCAAAGGUGAAAUACUUAUAGUAGAUCACAAAAUCAAUCAAGUUCUUGCGGUGGUCCCGAUUUCUGGAGGUGCUGUUAUAAAAAAUAUUGUGUUCAGCAGAAAUGGUCAAUACCUCCUCACAAAUUCAAAUGAUCGAACAAUCAGGAUCUAUGAAAAUCUUCUGCCUCUGAAAGGCGGACUUAGAUCUCUUGAUGACCUGAAAAAGACCAUUGACGAGCCAGAUGUCGUUGAGAAGAUGAAGGGUGUAGGAUCAAAAUGCUUAAUUCUUUUCAGGGAAUUUCAAGAUUCUAUUACAAAGAUGCAUUGGAAAGCGCCUUGUUUCAGUGGUGAUGGGGAGUGGGUUAUUAGUGGCUCUGCUAGCAAAGGAGAGCAUAAGAUCUACAUAUGGGAUAGACUUGGCCGUCUCGUGAAAAUACUUGAUGGUCCAAAGGAAGCAUUGAUUGAUUUGGCAUGGCAUCCUGUUCACCCUGUCAUUGUCUCUGUUUCUUUGGGUGGUGUGGUUUAUAUUUGGUCUAAAGAGUAUACUGAGAACUGGAGUGCAUUUGCUCCGGAUUUCAAAGAGCUUGAAGAAAAUGAGGAAUAUGUAGAACGGGAGGAUGAAUUUGAUCUGAAUCCUAGAGAUGAAAAGGUUAAAGAGUCGGAUGUUGAUGAAGAUGAUGAAAUUGAUAUCAUGACAAUGGACAACGAUGAUUUCAGUGAUUCUGAUAUGUCACAUGAAGAACUCUGCUAUUUGCCUGCCAGCCCUUGCCCUGACAUUCCAGAGCAUCAAGACAAGUUUGUAGGAAUUUCUUCGAAGUUGUUGGACAGUAAUCAUUCUGGAUCUCCCUUUUCUGAGGCUGGACAGGAUGACCAGGCAAUGAACCGUGCAACAAGUCCACUUGAAGAGGACACGGGAGCAACACGGUUGAAGAGAAAAAGGAAACCCUCAGAGAAGGGGCUGGAAUUGCAGGGCACCUUCAGGAAACCUUCGAAACCUGGGAAAACAACGUCAAGAUCAUCAAAAGCAAAGAACAAAAUUGCAGCUAGCCAGGAUUUGGGAAAUGGUGAAUAUGAAGACGAUGACUCUGAUUGAUAACGCCCUUAGAGCCGGUCUAGCAUGUUAUCAAACUCCAAAAACAAAAUUGCAAUUACCUGGAUAACAAUAAAUAAUGGUGUACAAGUAGAUAAUGUUUCUGUUUCAUAACAUUAUAAUGUACUUAGAUGGGCAGCUUAUGCAUGUCCACAUCAUUUGUUAAACAUCUUGGUACUUGUUUAGAGGGAUUCUCUUCGGAUGUUGAUAAGUACCACAUCGGAAGAUGUGGGCAUGAGAAUGCAAUUUAUAAGUGACCAAGUGGUCUUCACAUUGUACCAAGGGUUUUCUAAAGGGGAUUGGACCCAAGGUAUUUGGCUUGGGGGCCUGUUGGGCCUCUGGGAACAGCCCAGCCCAUGCAUGGGUGGGGGUUGGGCCCUUGAUAUAAUGUGUUGGAAGGCUGGUUCUUAUCAGAUGCUUAGUACUUAAGUCCCCCUUGAUAUAAUGUGUUAGAAGGUUGGUUCUUAUCAUGCUUGGUACUUAAGUUUUAUAUUAUAUAAGCCAACUGUAUGACUAAGUCACAGCUUUUCACCAUGUUAAGUUUU